This 406-nucleotide ribosomal RNA is filed under the name uncultured bacterium. Its description in RNAcentral is "partial 16S ribosomal RNA". It matches the Rfam family "Bacterial small subunit ribosomal RNA", at positions 30 to 526 of the family's 1533-position model. The record is from RNAcentral.
AUUGAACGCUGGCGGCAGGCCUAACACAUGCAAGUCGAACGAGUGGCGGACGGGUGAGUAAUGUCUGGGAAACUGCCUGAUGGAGGGGGAUAACUACUGGAAACGGUAGCUAAUACCGCAUACCAUCGGAUGUGCCCAGAUGGGAUUAGCUAGUAGGUGGGGUAAAGGCUCCCCUAGGCGACUAUCCCUAGCUGGUCUGAGAGGAUGACCAGCCACCUGGGAACUGAGACACGGUCCAGAUGCCUACGGAAGGAAGCAGUGGGGAAUAUUGCACAAUGGGCGCAAGCCGGAUGCAGAAAUUCCGCGUGUAUGAAGAAGGCCUUCGGGUGGUAAAGUAUUUUCAGCGGGGAGGCGUUACCCGCAGAAGAAGCACCGGCUAACUCCGUGCCAGCAGCCGCGGUAAUUC